UCUGAGUCGACAUUGUACCAACGUGCAUGUUUGCAACUUUCACCACGACAAGCCUGUCUGCUAUUACAGAUACAGAAGCAGUUGCAGAUGGCUGCCGUAAAGCACAUUUCUGUUAUUACCGGAUACUCAUCCCGUACCCCCAUGUUGUGGGAAAUCUGUCUGGUCAACGACAAGUAUUUGUGUACAGAAACAUGGGCCUGUCCUGGCUGGAUGGAAGACGCUGGUGCAGGAAACUGGUCGGUGUUGCUGUGUGAAGAUUGUAACAGCAGCUGUCACAACGCAUGCAUUGAAACUUCACAACAGGUACUACAGAUAAGUACUCCAGCUUCCGACAGGGCAGACGAACAGAACUACUCUGUACAAUUGCCAAUACAAACUUAAACUUACAAGGUUUUUUAGAUGAAAAACCGAUAUGCACGCAUAUCAAAGGCAACUGUUUAAGUUUACCAAAGCACAACGAGAAACGUUUU
Long non-coding RNA from Dreissena polymorpha, 470 nucleotides. RefSeq lists it as uncharacterized. NCBI's taxonomy places the organism in Eukaryota, Metazoa, Mollusca, Bivalvia, Myida, Dreissenidae. The transcript has 4 exons. The record is from RefSeq and is a predicted model, not a curated record.